Molecule: ribosomal RNA, 253 nt
Filed under: uncultured bacterium
Lineage: Bacteria
Description: partial 16S ribosomal RNA
Rfam family: Bacterial small subunit ribosomal RNA
Source: RNAcentral
UACGUAGGGGGCAAGCGUUGUCCGGAUUUAUUGGGCGUAAAGAGCGUGUAGGCGGCCAUACAGGUCAGCUGUGAAAACUCGAGGCUCAACCUCGAGACGCCGAUGGAAACCCUCAGACUAGAGUCCGGAAGAGGAGAGUGGAAUUCCUGGUGUAGCGGUGAAAUGCGCAGAUAUCAGGAGGAACACCAAUGGCGAAGGCAGCUCGCUGGGACGUGACUGACGCUGAGACGCGAAAGCGUGGGGAGCAAACAGG